RNAcentral lists this ribosomal RNA (253 nucleotides) under uncultured Ruminococcus sp. RNAcentral describes it as "partial 16S ribosomal RNA". It matches the Rfam family "Bacterial small subunit ribosomal RNA", at positions 524 to 776 of the family's 1533-position model. Lineage: Bacteria; Bacillati; Bacillota; Clostridia; Eubacteriales; Oscillospiraceae. The record is from RNAcentral.
UACGUAGGGAGCAAGCGUUGUCCGGAUUUACUGGGUGUAAAGGGUGCGUAGGCGGCUUAGCAAGUCAGAAGUGAAAUCCAUGGGCUUAACCCAUGAACUGCUUUUGAAACUGCUAAGCUUGAGUGGAGUAGAGGUAGGCGGAAUUCCCGGUGUAGCGGUGAAAUGCGUAGAGAUCGGGAGGAACACCGGUGGCGAAGGCGGCCACCUGGACGACAACUGACGCUGAGGUGCGAAAGCGUGGGUAGCAAACAGG